Molecule: ribosomal RNA, 141 nt
Filed under: Apicomplexa sp.
Lineage: Eukaryota; Apicomplexa
Description: partial small subunit ribosomal RNA
Rfam family: Eukaryotic small subunit ribosomal RNA
Source: RNAcentral
UAGUUCGUGGAUUAAUUUGUCUGGUUAAUUCCGUUAACGAACGAGACCUUAACUUGCUAAUUGGAGUAUAGUAAUAUAUAUUAUGCUCUGUUAGAAGGACCAUGUGUCUCUAACACAAGGAAGCGUGAGGCAAUAACAGGU